CCUACGGGAGGCAGCAGUGGGGAAUCUUGCGCAAUGGGCGAAAGCCUGACGCAGCCAUGCCGCGUGAAUGAUGAAGGUCUUAGGAUUGUAAAAUUCUUUCACCGGGGACGAUAAUGACGGUACCCGGAGAAGAAGCCCCGGCUAACUUCGUGCCAGCAGCCGCGGUAAUACGAAGGGGGCUAGCGUUGCUCGGAAUUACUGGGCGUAAAGGGAGCGUAGGCGGAUAGUUUAGUCAGAGAUGAAAGCCCAGGGCUCAACCUUGGAAUUGCCUUUGAUACUGGCUAUCUUGAGUACGGAAGAGGUAUGUGGAACUCCGAGUGUAGAGGUGAAAUUCGUAGAUAUUCGGAAGAACACCAGUGGCGAAGGCGACAUACUGGUCCGUUACUGACGCUGAGGCUCGAAAGCGUGGGGAGCAAACAGGAUUAGAUACCCUGGUAGUCCACGCUGUAAACGAUGAGUGCUAGUUGUCGGCAUGCAUGCAUGUCGGUGACGCAGACUAACGACAUAAGUACGACUCCGCCGUCGGGAGGUACGGUCGGCGAAGAAGUUAAAACGUUAAACGUUAAGUUAAGUUAGUUACGGCGUGAGACGUUGCGACGGACGACGACGAGGGAGGAGG
RNAcentral lists this ribosomal RNA (619 nucleotides) under uncultured bacterium. RNAcentral describes it as "bacterial SSU rRNA". The stretch from base 1 to 521 matches the Rfam family "Bacterial small subunit ribosomal RNA", at positions 338 to 873 of the family's 1533-position model. The record is from RNAcentral.